AAUCAUCAAAACCUUUUCUUUGAUCAUUUUGGUCGAGAAAGGGUUUUUGGACUUGGAGGAUCAAUGCUCGCUCUCACUUUUCGAAAGUGAGCUCCUCUUAAAUAAAUUAGUGGGGGUUUGCUUCGCCGAUCCUUGACGUGAUAAGUUGCUUCUACGUUUUGGAUUUGGUCGGACACCUGCUUCUAACCGUCCCUAUGGACGACGAUGGUGUUCCGGUCACCUGGACCCAUUAAGAAAACC
Molecule: unclassified non-coding RNA, 240 nt
Filed under: uncultured Russula
Lineage: Eukaryota; Fungi; Basidiomycota; Agaricomycetes; Russulales; Russulaceae
Description: sequence contains ITS2
Source: RNAcentral